RNAcentral lists this ribosomal RNA (468 nucleotides) under uncultured bacterium. Its description in RNAcentral is "partial 16S ribosomal RNA". It matches the Rfam family "Bacterial small subunit ribosomal RNA", at positions 28 to 507 of the family's 1533-position model. The record is from RNAcentral.
GACGAACGCUGGCGGCGUGCUUAACACAUGCAAGUCGAACGGAAAGGCCCUGCUUUUGUGGGGUGCUCGAGUGGCGAACGGGUGGGUAACACGUGAGUAACCUGCCCUUGACUUUAGGAUAACUUCAGGAAACUGGGGCUAAUACCGGAUAGGAGCUCCUGCUGCAUGGUGGGGGUUGGAAAGUUUCGGCGGUUGGGGAUGGUCUCGCGGCUUAUCAGCUUGUUGGUGGGGUAGUGGCUUACCAAGGCUUUGACGGGUAGCCGGCCUGAGAGGGUGACCGGCCACAUUGGGACUGAGAUACGGCCCAGACUCCUACGGGAGGCAGCAGUGGGGAAUAUUGCACAAUGGGCGGAAGCCUGAUGCAGCAACGCCGCGUGCGGGAUGACGGCCUUCGGGUUGUAAACCGCUUUCGCCUGUGACGAAGCGUGAGCGACGGUAAUGGGUAAAGAAGCACCGGCUAACUACGUG